RNAcentral lists this transfer RNA (82 nucleotides) under Fidelibacterota bacterium. RNAcentral describes it as "tRNA-Leu". It matches the Rfam family "tRNA". From Rfam's summary of the family: Transfer RNA (tRNA) molecules are approximately 80 nucleotides in length. The record is from RNAcentral. Lineage: Bacteria; Pseudomonadati; Fidelibacterota.
GCCGCAAUGGUGGAAUUGGUAGACACGCUGGUCUUAGGAACCAGUGCUUCACGGCGUGGGGGUUCGAGCCCCUCUUGCGGCA